Molecule: microRNA, 22 nt
Filed under: Manduca sexta (tobacco hornworm)
Lineage: Eukaryota; Metazoa; Arthropoda; Insecta; Lepidoptera; Sphingidae
Description: mse-miR-2797b
Source: miRBase by way of RNAcentral
UAAGUAGAUACUUCUAGGCUUU